This 2035-nucleotide long non-coding RNA is filed under the name Linum usitatissimum (flax). Its description in RNAcentral is "long non-coding RNA (LUSI_LNC004989)". The record is from RNAcentral. Lineage: Eukaryota; Viridiplantae; Streptophyta; Magnoliopsida; Malpighiales; Linaceae.
CAAAGCCAGUGGUACCAGGCACUGCUAGCAGCGAGUUUGCAGAGUGCAGGAAAUGGAGAUCCUAUGAGGCAACAAUUUAUGCAGUUUCAGCAUCCUUUGCAGUAUCAACAGCAGCCAACCACCAACUACCCAAUAUUGCAGCAAGCACCUCAGCAGUCUGUUCCUCAUAAUAUUCUUAGCUCACAUAAUCAAGUUUCCACGGAUAGCUUGCCUCAGCAAAUCCUUCAACAGCAGCAGGAGCCGAGUUAUAAUGACUCGAUUCCGAGACAAAAUGAUCAGCUUCACGGAGGGCCGUCAAGUGUGCAUUCUCCAAAUUUCUCAAAACCCAACUUUAUCGAUUCGAGCACCAAAUUCAUAGGUGGGUCUACAGUCACUGUUCAGAACAUGUUGGGGUCUCUGUGUACCGAAGGCAGUGGCAACCUUUUGGACCUGACAAGAGCUGUUUCGUCUUCUGAACAUCUAAACCAAGAAACCUGGGUUCCGAAAUAUUCGCAUGCCCAAGUCAAUGCCUUUACCACUCCGACGACACACCAACACCAAUUUCACGACAAAGAUCAUGCACCAGUACCAAAACCAGGAAACUGUAGCACGGAAGCUCUGAAUCCAAAUACCUUUGGCAUGAACAUUGAUUCAACUGGACUCCUCUUACCCACCACUGUACCGAGAGUUGCUACUACUUCUUCAAGCGAUCCUGACGUGUUGUCAAUGCCUUUAAGCGUGGCUGGGUUUCAGAAUUCUCUCUACAGUUCUUCUGAGUUCUUACCCGGUACAGGAGGGCAAGUAGAGGCGCUAAACGCAGGUCCAAUAUUUGUGAAGGUUUGAAAUCUCGGGGUGGAUUUCUUCUCUUAUCAACAGUUGAGUUUUCCUAGUAAGUAUCUUUCUUGCUUCUUAUUGAUGUUGUUCUGCUACAGGUUUACAAAUCUGGAUCGGUUGGGCGGUCCCUUGACAUCUCCCGGUUCAGCAGCUAUCAUCAGCUGCGGGAGGAACUGGCACAGAUGUUCGGGAUCGAGGGGAAGUUGAAAAACCCUCAUAGAUCGGGCUGGCAGCUUGUAUUUGUCGACAAGGAGGAUCUAACUGAUUAUUAUAAAUGGUAGUUGCCAUUUGUUGAUAAAAUUGUUCUGCUGUGUCAUGAAUUUAUUCAUUAGGGCUUUUCAUCAAGUGUAUCAAGGACGUAAAUUUGUAUACGAGAUUGAACUCAGUAUAUUAUUAUAUUUCUCACCCUCUGAAAAGAGGUAUAUAUACAAAUAGACUAGCUAGGUUAGAGUAGGAUAACACGCUAACAGCUAGGAAUUGUAUAGGAAAGGAACAAACUACAUGCUGAAAAUCACAGUAAAUCACUACAACCAACAAUUUGUCUUGUAGAUACACCGAGAUACUUCCUUCCAAGUGUAAAUUCCAUAACAAUUAGUCAGGUAUUGGAGUAAGUAUAAGGAUAGCAAAUGAGAGAAUUUAUUUUUCUCAUUCGGCAACUUUGCUGGUGGUCAAAUUGAACCUAGAACUGUAAAAAUCUUGCCUUGAAAGCACUUAAUUAUGUUUUUUCCUUGCUGUACUGCAUGGAAAUACUCGGCUUCUCUUAUUCAAGGAUUUUUCCGCAGAUCCCAGAGACGAAAAUGGUAACAGCCUAACGUGGAUGAGGGGUGGUCCCGGAGAUGGUCUUCCUUCUAUGAAUUUUCAAGCCGUCAAUAUGUUGCCAUGGAUGCAGCAGCAGAGAGUGGAUCCAUCUUUGCUUAGGAACGAUCAAAGCCAGUGGUACCAGGCACUGCUAGCAGCGAGUUUGCAGAGUGCAGGAAAUGGAGAUCCUAUGAGGCAACAAUUUAUGCAGUUUCAGCAUCCUUUGCAGUAUCAACAGCAGCCAACCACCAACUACCCAAUAUUGCAGCAAGCACCUCAGCAGUCUGUUCCUCAUAAUAUUCUUAGCUCACAUAAUCAAGUUUCCACGGAUAGCUUGCCUCAGCAAAUCCUUCAACAGCAGCAGGAGCCGAGUUAUAAUGACUCGAUUCCGAGACAAAAUGAUCAGCUUCACGGAGGGCCGUCA